GGUCUAUGGUGAUAGAUGGGAUGGGCUGAGAGGGUGGUCUAUGGUGAUAGAUGGGAUGGGCUGAGAGGGUGGUCUAUGGUGGUAGGUGGGAUGGGCUGAGAGGGUGGUCUAUGGUGAUAGAUGGGAUGGGCUGAGAGGGUGGUCUAUGGUGAUAGAUGGGAUGGGCUGAGAGGGUGGUCUAUGGUGAUAGAUGGGAUGGGCUGAGAGGGUAGUCUAUGGUGAUAGAUGGGAUGGGCUGAGAGGGUGGUCUAUGGUGAUAGAUGGGAUGGGCUGAGAGGGUGGUCUAUGGUGAUAGAUGGGAUGGGCUGAGAGGGUGGUCUAUGGUGAUAGAUGGGAUGGGCUGAGAGGGUGGUCUAUGGUGAUAGAUGGGAUGGGCUGAGAGGGUGGUCUAUGGUGAUAGGUGGGAUGGGCUGAGAGGGUGGUCUAUGGUGAUAGAUGGGAUGGGCUGAGAGGGGGGUCUAUGGUGAUAGAUGGGAUGGGCUGAGAGGGUGGUCUAUGGUGAUAGGUGGGAUGGGCUGAGAG
Molecule: long non-coding RNA, 522 nt
Organism: Oncorhynchus tshawytscha (Chinook salmon)
Lineage: Eukaryota; Metazoa; Chordata; Actinopteri; Salmoniformes; Salmonidae
Source: Ensembl